GACGAACCGUGCGAACGUUAUUCGGAAUCACUGGGCUUAAAGCGCGUGUAGGCGGGCCGGCACGUCCGACGCUGAAAGCCCCCGGCUCAACCGGGGAACGGCGCGGGAAACUAGCAGGCUUGAGUUCGGGAGAGGGAAGCGGAAUUCCGGGUGUAGCGGUGAAAUGCGCAGAUAUCCGGAGGAACACCGGUGGCGAAGGCGGCUUCCUGGACCGACACUGACGCUGAGGCGCGAAAGCUAGGGGAGCAAACGGG
RNAcentral lists this ribosomal RNA (254 nucleotides) under uncultured bacterium. Its description in RNAcentral is "partial 16S ribosomal RNA". It matches the Rfam family "Bacterial small subunit ribosomal RNA", at positions 524 to 776 of the family's 1533-position model. The record is from RNAcentral.